RNAcentral lists this ribosomal RNA (254 nucleotides) under uncultured bacterium. RNAcentral's name for it is "partial 16S ribosomal RNA". It matches the Rfam family "Bacterial small subunit ribosomal RNA", at positions 524 to 776 of the family's 1533-position model. The record is from RNAcentral.
UACGGGGGGAGCAAGCGUUGUUCGGAUUUAUUGGGCGUAAAGGGCGCGUAGGCGGUCAGCACAAGUCAGUUGUGAAAUCUCCGGGCUUAACUCGGAAAGGUCAACUGAUACUGUGCGACUAGAGUGCAGAAGGGGCAACUGGAAUUCUCGGUGUAGCGGUGAAAUGCGUAGAUAUCGAGAGGAACACCUGCGGCGAAGGCGGGUUGCUGGGCUGACACUGACGCUGAGGCGCGAAAGCCAGGGGAGCGAACGGG